GCCUGGGUGGCUCAGUUGGUUGAGCACCUGAUUUCGGCUCAGGUCAUGAUCUCACAGUUUGUGAGUUCGAGCCCCACGUCGGGCU
This 85-nucleotide transfer RNA is filed under the name Felis catus (domestic cat). It matches the Rfam family "tRNA". From Rfam's summary of the family: Transfer RNA (tRNA) molecules are approximately 80 nucleotides in length. RNAcentral also lists the same sequence under 1 other name. The record is from Rfam by way of RNAcentral. Lineage: Eukaryota; Metazoa; Chordata; Mammalia; Carnivora; Felidae.